ACGGGAGGCAGCAGUGGGGAAUAUUGCACAAUUGGGGAAACCCUGAUGCGGCAACGCCGCGUGAGUGAAGAAGUAUUUCGGUAUGUAAAGCUCUAUCAGCAGGGAAGAUAAUGACGGUACCUGACUAAGAAGCUCCGGCUAAAUACGUGCCAGCAGCCGCGGUAAUACGUAUGGAGCAAGCGUUAUCCGGAUUUACUGGAUGUAAAGGGUGUGUAGGCGGCGAAGUAAGUCAGAUGUGAAAGACCGGGGCUCAACUCCGGGGCUGCUUUUGAAACUGCAUUGCUGGAGUGCAGGAGAGGCAGGCGGAAUUCCUAGUGUAGCGGUGAAAUGCGUAGAUAUUAGGAAGAACACCAGUGGCGAAGGCGGCCUGCUGGACUGGUACUGACGCUGAGGCACGAAAGCGUGGGGAGCAAACAGGAUUAGAUACCCUGGUA
Molecule: ribosomal RNA, 434 nt
Filed under: uncultured Lachnospiraceae bacterium
Lineage: Bacteria; Bacillati; Bacillota; Clostridia; Lachnospirales; Lachnospiraceae
Description: bacterial SSU rRNA
Rfam family: Bacterial small subunit ribosomal RNA
Source: RNAcentral